CUCAUUAAUCGACCUAAUUCAAAAAUACUGAAACCCCAGCCCAAUCUUCUCUUUAGAAUGACUCAUCGUACAAUACACACAACAACAUCGGUAAACAACUGCAUACAGCAGUACAAAUGUGAUCCAUAUACGUCGUCUUCCUCGCGAAGAACAGCGCGUGACCGGUCGUAUCAAUCCGGUAAUUUCAAAAAAAAAAGUUGUGUCCUCUUCUCUCUCUCCUUAUCCUCUCAUACAAGAGCCGUUUGAGAUUCGUAACGUGUCGAAAUGUUGUAGCGUCAUUGUCCUUGCUGAAAAUUGAACGACCCUCUUUUGAAUUCGUUGAAAAUGGUACAAGUUGGUACUGUUGACAGCUUUCAAUGUGAUCCUUUCUGAGAAACAUCUGAAUUUCGAAUUCAAAUUCAUCCUUAAAGUAGAAUUGUGGGAAAAGAGAUAGAAAAGAGAAAGGAAGAGAGUUCUACCAUUAGGAACGGAAUUACAAGUUAAAAAAAAGAGUAGGAUUUCGGGAAAUAGUAUUUUGUAGCUAGAGAAUCUGGUUAGCUGUUCGGUUAUGUCGAAAUCCAUCGUGUGGUGGUGAAAGCUUCAUGGUCAAGCUCGUCGAGUCCCGGAACGCUGCUCCAAAAGGUUCUUUUUGGACUCUAUCCCUGCAUUUUGUUGAGUUGAGAUUCUUAUUGAGUUGAACUUCAUCAUUGUUCAUGUUUUGGAAGCUGAAACAGACCUUGAAAAGUUAAAGAAUAGGUUGUAUACAUGUUCUAUACAAUCGUAUAAAACUAUAUACUAGCCGAGGUGCUGAAAUAUAGAUCCAGACUGCGGAUAUACAAGUCGAAGAGAAGAAAUGCAGGUGUCGUGAGUUAAAAAGAGAAGAAAUUCAGGUUCGAGAGUUAAAAAUGGAAUUAUAUACACUAAUAUUCGGACAUUAUACAAUUUAUAUACAAAAAGCAGAAAUGGGCCCAAAAGCCCCAAAGUAUUUAGGCAGAAUUUUGGAAGAUAAUUGGGCCAAAGCUCAUCUGAUUUUUGGGAAGCUUAGUUUAGGACAGGGAAUGGGGCCAAGGCUCAAAUCUCACCCCCUCACUCUCUCUAAUGAAAUUAUUAAGGGGAAAGGGAAUUUGUCUUACUCUUACUUGCUUAUUUGCUAAUUAAUCUUAAAGUUAGCUUAAUAAAUUCCCUAAAAGAUGAACCAUAUCCUGUAUGUUGAUAUGUUUUAACAUAAUUCUUUUUUUUA
Molecule: long non-coding RNA, 1219 nt
Organism: Solanum pennellii
Lineage: Eukaryota; Viridiplantae; Streptophyta; Magnoliopsida; Solanales; Solanaceae
Exons: 2
Source: RefSeq, a predicted model, not a curated record